Molecule: non-coding RNA, 365 nt
Organism: Chelonoidis abingdonii (Abingdon island giant tortoise)
Lineage: Eukaryota; Metazoa; Chordata; Testudines; Testudinidae
Source: RefSeq, a predicted model, not a curated record
GUUGCAGCUGUCUGGAGGUGCUGCCUUCCACACCUUCCUCAGUCACACCUUGUUCUCAUUCAACAGGCAAUUGAUUACAAGGUUCAUCCCUGGGGAUGGUUAUAUGUGGAAGUGCCAUUACCCCAUGUAGGAUCAGACCUGCGCUGGAAAAAUUAAGUUACUACUGAUUUUGGGUAGAGGAAAGAAUGACCCACCUGCCGCAGAGACCAAAAGGAGCAGCCACCUUGAGACCAUCCAGGGAGAUGGAAACCAGACAGUGAUCUGUGGAGUCACAACAAAUAGAAGUUUGCUUAAGUAUUGAGGGAGGACUGCAAGAACUCUUGUCAGUAUGAGAUGUGGAUUGCUGGGUCGUUGUGGCUUCCUCG